This 497-nucleotide ribosomal RNA is filed under the name uncultured bacterium. RNAcentral describes it as "partial 16S ribosomal RNA". It matches the Rfam family "Bacterial small subunit ribosomal RNA", at positions 28 to 507 of the family's 1533-position model. The record is from RNAcentral.
GAUGAACGCUGGCGGCGUGCCUAAUACAUGCAAGUCGAGCGAACAAAGGAGGAGCUUGUUCCCUUGACGAUAGGGGCGCAGGUGUGAGUAACACGUGGAAAACCCCCCUAUAAGACUGGGAAAUCUUCGAGACACUGGCGAAAAUACCGGAUAAUAUAAUGAACCGUAAGAUUUACUAAAAAAAUACAAUUUCGUCACUACUAUUAGAUGGUUCGGCGCCGCAUUUGCUUGUUGAUAAGGUAACGGAUUACCAAGGCAACGCAGCGUAGCCGACCUGAGAGGGUGAUCGGCCACACUGGAACUGGGACACGGUCCAGACUCCUACGGGAGGCAGCAGUAGGGAAUCUUCCGCAAUGGGCGAAAGCCUGACGGAGCAACGCCGCGUGAGUGAUGAAGGUCUUCGGAUCGUAAAACUCUGUUAUUAGGGAAGAACAAAUGUGUAAGUAACUAUGCACGUCUUGACGGUACCUAAUCAGAAAGCCACGGCUAACUACGUG